This 497-nucleotide ribosomal RNA is filed under the name uncultured bacterium. RNAcentral describes it as "partial 16S ribosomal RNA". It matches the Rfam family "Bacterial small subunit ribosomal RNA", at positions 28 to 507 of the family's 1533-position model. The record is from RNAcentral.
GAUGAACGCUGGCGGCGUGCCUAAUACAUGCAAGUCGAGCGAACAGACGAGGAGCUUGCUCCUUCGACGUUAGCGGCGGACGGGUGAGUAACACGUAGUUAACCUACCUAUAAGACUGGGAUAACUUCGGGAAACCGGAGCUAAUACCGGAUAAUAUUUCGAACCGCAUGGUUCGAUAGUGAAAGAUGGCUUUGCUAUCACUUAUAGAUGGACCUGCGCCGUAUUAGCUAGUUGGUAAGGUAACGGCUUACCAAGGCAACGAUACGUAGCCGACCUGAGAGGGUGAGCGGCCACACAGGAACUGAGACACGGUCCAGACUCCUACGGGAGGCAGCAGUAGGGAAUCUUCCGCGAUGGGCGAAAGCCUGACGGAGCAACGCCGCGUGAGUGAUGAAGGUCUUCGGAUCGUAAAACUCUGUUAUUAGGGAAGAACAAACGUGUAAGUAACUGUGCACGUCUUGACGGUACCUAAGCAGAAAGCCACGGCUAACUACGUG